GCACAACCCUCAACUUCUCUUCCCGUAUCACUACCUCCUGCAACUCCCAGUCCUGUCCUGGCCGAUCAAAACCACCCCAUCCGCCAUAUUCUCUUUCUCUCCCAUCCGCAAGGCAAGACUCUCACUUCCGUAUCUCCUCGUGGUGUCAAGGAAGGGGGUUCACUUGAAGCUGCUGGUGGAGACACGGGUAGAAGUCUGGAGCUCCGCCAUAGACGUGCUUCGCUGGAACACUGUGCGCAACACAUCGCCGACGCCACCCCGACUGAUAUCGGGUCGUUCGUGGAGUCUGAGGGAAUUGCAGGAGAGGACCCUGAGAAGCAGCAACUUGGUGAAGGUACUUGAUACAUGUUGGGAAUGAGGGGAGUAGCAGCACGUCCACUUUCACUCUCACAAUAACGCUGCCCAGGCGCAGCCAUGAUUUAAUUAGAAACUUAUUGUCAAAGGAAGUUUGUUUAUUUUUUUAUAUGGUCGUGCGCACUGGUUAAUUCAGUUCAGGUCGUAUGUUUAUCUUUCCUUGCUAGCCGAUUAAUAAUACUUAGUAUGUUUUAGUCAUGAUAUAUGUUUAUACUCUGUUGCCCCCUCUUUUAUGCAAUCUUGCAAAGGGGAUGCUGCCGAAAUUUUAUAUAUGGACGUCGCAAGUGUAGUACAGUAGCAUUACGGGUUGUUUGUGGAAC
This 674-nucleotide unclassified non-coding RNA is filed under the name Zea mays. RNAcentral describes it as "misc RNA Zm00001eb339630". Lineage: Eukaryota; Viridiplantae; Streptophyta; Magnoliopsida; Poales; Poaceae. The record is from RNAcentral.